UUAUUAUUCGAGUUGAUUGUUGAGAACCACAGGAGUGAUCUGGAAGGUGAGGACGCUGCUGAGCGUUGGUGUUGCUGCGUGUCCUCUCAUUUACAAUUUUAAGAAUAGUCAUCUACAAACACCAAGAUGUUGGUUAGCUUCUCGGGAAGCCAAACCUGUUGGACUGGACCAGCUCUGUUCUUCCUGCUUCCUGGGAGUGCUGCUAUCGACAAUUUCUCUGGAACCUUGUCAGGCUUAGAGGACUCUUGUUCCUGGUCUGAGGCUCUGAAAGCCUCAUGUCAUGAAGUGUUCCCUCCCCAUUUGUGGUUUCCUUGUGAAAGCUGUUUGCCACGACCCUGAUAAGGCCAGCAUUUCUGAGGGGAAGAUGUGGGCCUGGAAAGGCACCGAGGACAAGAACAGGGCCAGGGAGAGACUGGGUAGUGUUGAGGAGCCCGUGUGCUUUGCAACAGUCCUUCCUGCAGGCUCUCAAAAGAAUAUAAAUCGGCAUCAGGGCUGGUAAGAGCAUGGACGCUGAGGUUCCUUGGGACUUUCUAUGUAAACAGUCAAGUUGUCUGUUCUUGAAAAGGGAGCUUAGAUUAUUGAUUUGAGACACACAGACUGUGUCCUCCAACCCUAGCAGACUUAAACCAGAAAUCAAUAACAGAAGAAAGAAAAAUAACAGGAAAAUCUCAGAGAUGAAGCCUCCAGGAAAAUAAAACAAACACAUUGAUCUAAAUAAAAAUGAUA
This is a long non-coding RNA of Ailuropoda melanoleuca (giant panda), 726 nucleotides long. RefSeq lists it as uncharacterized. NCBI's taxonomy places the organism in Eukaryota, Metazoa, Chordata, Mammalia, Carnivora, Ursidae. The transcript is spliced from 3 exons. The record is from RefSeq and is a predicted model, not a curated record.